CAGCAGCCGCGGGAAUACGAAGGGUGCAAGCGUUACUCGGAAUUACUGGGCGUAAAGCGUGCGUAGGUGGUGGUUUAAGUCCGUUGUGAAAGCCCUGGGCUCAACCUGGGAAUUGCAGUGGAUACUGGAUCACUAGAGUGUGGUAGAGGAUAGUGGAAUUUCCGGUGUAGCAGUGAAAUGCGUAGAGAUCGGAAGGAACAUCUGUGGCGAAGGCGACUAUCUGGGCCAACACUGACACUGAGGCACGAAAGCGUGGGGAGCAAACAGGAUUAGAUACCCGAGUAGUCCCAGUCUCUUAUAA
This 301-nucleotide ribosomal RNA is filed under the name uncultured bacterium. Its description in RNAcentral is "partial 16S ribosomal RNA". It matches the Rfam family "Bacterial small subunit ribosomal RNA", at positions 509 to 809 of the family's 1533-position model. The record is from RNAcentral.